Molecule: small nuclear RNA, 104 nt
Organism: Eptesicus fuscus (big brown bat)
Lineage: Eukaryota; Metazoa; Chordata; Mammalia; Chiroptera; Vespertilionidae
Source: RefSeq, a predicted model, not a curated record
AUGCUCACUCUGGUAGCACAUAUACUAAAAUUGGAACAAUACAGAGAUUAGCAUGGCCCCUGUGCAAGGAUGACACACAAAUUCAUGAAGCAUUCCAUAUUUUU